GACGAACGCUGGCGGCGUGCUUAACACAUGCAAGUCGAACGGGUCUGCCCUGUUUUUUGCGGGGUGGGUCAGUGGCGAACGGGUGAGUAACACGUGAGUAACCUGCCCCUCACUUCUGGAUAACCGCUUGAAAGGGUGGCUAAUACGGGGUGUUCUGGCUGUGCCGCAUGGUGUGGCUGGGAAAGAUUCACUUUUGUGGUGUUUUGGUGGGGGAUGGGCUCGCGGCCUAUCAGCUUGUUGGUGGGGUGAUGGCCUGCCAAGGCUUUGACGGGUAGCCGGCCUGAGAGGGUGGGCGGUCACACUGGGACUGAGAUACGGCCCAGACUCCUGCGGGAGGCAGCAGUGGGGGGUAUUGCACAAUGGGCGGAAGCCUGAUGCAGCGACGUCGCGUGAGGGAUGGAGGCCGUCGGGUUGUGAACCUCUUUCGCCGGUGAAGAAGGUCCUGCUCUUUGUGGUGGGGUUGACGGUAGCCGGGUUAUGAAGCGCCGGCUAACUACGUG
This 500-nucleotide ribosomal RNA is filed under the name uncultured bacterium. Its description in RNAcentral is "partial 16S ribosomal RNA". It matches the Rfam family "Bacterial small subunit ribosomal RNA", at positions 28 to 507 of the family's 1533-position model. The record is from RNAcentral.